GUAAAGUUUAAAGUUUUUUCAGACCAUGAAAGCUUCAGUUUUAUGGGUAAGGAACAUGCCCUUGUCUUAUCCAAUCACAGAAGUGAUAUCGAUUUGUUAGUUGGAUGGGUUUUGGCUCAGUGAUCAGGUUGUCUUGGCAGUACAUUAGCUGUUAUGAAGAAAUCAUCAAAAUUCCUUCUGGUCAUCGGUUGGUCAAUGUGUUUUU
Hibiscus syriacus is the source of this 205-nucleotide long non-coding RNA. RefSeq lists it as uncharacterized. NCBI's taxonomy places the organism in Eukaryota, Viridiplantae, Streptophyta, Magnoliopsida, Malvales, Malvaceae. The record is from RefSeq and is a predicted model, not a curated record. The transcript has 5 exons.